Molecule: long non-coding RNA, 1333 nt
Organism: Silurus meridionalis
Lineage: Eukaryota; Metazoa; Chordata; Actinopteri; Siluriformes; Siluridae
Exons: 4
Source: RefSeq, a predicted model, not a curated record
UCAACAGUCUCCUACAAUGGCUUAGGACUUUGCUUUGCUUAGACAGUUUUGCAUUAAGGACCCAUCACUGCACAGUACACCUCAACAAUGAUUCAACUAUAAUGAAUGAACAUUUGGUGUCACCAAGAUGAGGUUCUCUUUAGAGUCAGGUUAUAAAAUUGAAAUGUAUAUGUUAGUAUCUAUGAGUUUAGAGCUAUAAGUUUAGAUACUAACAUAUACAUUCCAAUUUUAUAACCUCAUCAUCUCUGUUAAGCUACUUUGGCACAAUGUCCAUUGGUAAAAUCGCUAUACAAAUUGAAUUGAUAGCUGUAAUAUAUUGUUUACUGGUAUAUAAUUAUGAUCAUCUAAAAGCUUUUCCUUUAGUUCAGUGCGAUAACAAUCCUGCUUUAAGUGAAUGGUUUUUAUUUUCCACAGCUAACUAACUUGUGUGUUUGACUCACUAUCUGUGCACCCGAGACAUCACUUCAGAGUGAACUACAGUGUGAUUACACAUAACAAACAUUUUAUAAUUCUGUGUAAUUAUUUGGGAACAUGAAAAAUAUGUAAAUCCAAAAGCUGUUUUUGGAGCCGAAUGAGUCGGCCUUUGUUCGUGAGCUGAAACAUUAGCCCUGAAUCACUCAACUGCACAUGGUGUUGAAAUCACAUGACCAGAACACGUUACCUUAACAACCUAACUGAAAGCUUCCAUAGUUACCUUGUAAAACCCUCGACGGCUAAAUGACCUGAAGCAUAAAAAUGUUUUUGUAUCGUAAGAAGCUCAGUAUUGUUGAAAUGGCUGCUUAAACCGAACAGUCUUUAGGAAUUCUGCUGUACUGAAAGAAGACAGAAUAGAGAAAAUGGCACACAGACUUGAUCAACUAGAAAGGAGCAGUUAUGUUAAGCAUGGAUCAGAAUUUGAAGAAGCCACCCAAACUGGUUUUGCCAAGUCCUUGUUACAUCUGGAGCUCGCCAAAGACGCUAGGUUGGGUCGUGCUGCGCUCAUACUGGUGCGUAGGGAGGCACUGCGCAGAGUUCUGGAUGAAGAGAGACAACUUUAUUCCAAAGAACUGAGCAAAAAGGGCCUGGCCAUUUAUCAGGAAAGGAUAUAAAUCUUUUACACAGCACUGUAAUAAACCUUCACAAACAAACCUUUCUUAUCCUCCUCACCUACUAACAUUCACAUCCUUGUUUUCAAUACAUCUUCAGUACAUUGGGAUUGUACUUUUAUUAAUAUAUUACAUGAGAUUAUCCAUUGUCUAAGUCCAUCAAAACAGUUUGUAGAUGUACUGUAUGAGAAUGGAAAAAAAACCUGAAAUAAAUAUGAACGAUUACAGCUGUACAGUCACAUUUAAAA